Molecule: ribosomal RNA, 496 nt
Filed under: Diaporthe sp. As007
Lineage: Eukaryota; Fungi; Ascomycota; Sordariomycetes; Diaporthales; Diaporthaceae
Description: eukaryotic LSU rRNA
Rfam family: 5.8S ribosomal RNA (bases 178-331)
Source: RNAcentral
CUGGAACGCGCCCCAGGCGCACCCAGAAACCCUUUGUGAACUUAUACCUUACUGUUGCCUCGGCGCAUGCUGGUCCUUCGGGGCCCCUCACCCUUGGAUGUUGAGACAGCCCGCCGGCGGCCAACCCAACUCUUGUUUUUACACUGAAUCUGUGAGAAUAAAACAUAAAUGAAUCAAAACUUUCAACAACGGAUCUCUUGGUUCUGGCAUCGAUGAAGAACGCAGCGAAAUGCGAUAAGUAAUGUGAAUUGCAGAAUUCAGUGAAUCAUCGAAUCUUUGAACGCACAUUGCGCCCUCUGGUAUUCCGGAGGGCAUGCCUGUUCGAGCGUCAUUUCAACCCUCAAGCCUGGCUUGGUGAUGGGGCACUGCUUUUUACCCAAGAAGCAGGCCCUGAAAUUCAGUGGCGAGCUCGCCAGGACCCCGAGCGCAGUAGUUAAACCCUCGCUCUGGAAGGCCCUGGCGGUGCCCUGCCGUUAAACCCCCAACUUCUGAAAAU